AAUCAACCGAGAUUCCCUUAGUAGUGGCGAGCGAACGGGGACCAGCCCUUAAGUUGAUUUGAGAUUAGUGGAACGCUCUGGAAAGUGCGGCCAUAGUGGGUGAUAGCCCCGUACACGAAAAUCUCUUGUCAAUGAAAUCGAGUAGGACGGAGCACGAGAAACUUUGUCUGAAUAUGGGGGGACCAUCCUCCAAGGCUAAAUACUACUGACUGACCGAUAGUGAACCAGUACCGUGAGGGAAAGGCGAAAAGAACC
Molecule: ribosomal RNA, 255 nt
Filed under: Pseudomonas fulva
Lineage: Bacteria; Pseudomonadati; Pseudomonadota; Gammaproteobacteria; Pseudomonadales; Pseudomonadaceae
Also listed under: 1 other name
Description: partial 23S ribosomal RNA
Rfam family: Bacterial large subunit ribosomal RNA
Source: RNAcentral